Molecule: ribosomal RNA, 492 nt
Filed under: uncultured bacterium
Lineage: Bacteria
Description: partial 16S ribosomal RNA
Rfam family: Bacterial small subunit ribosomal RNA
Source: RNAcentral
AGUGAACGCUGGCGAUAGGCCUAACACAUGCAAGUCGAACGGCAGCACAGUAAGAGCUUGCUCUUACGGGUGGCGAGUGGCGGACGGGUGAGGAAUACAUCGGAAUCUACUUUUUCGUGGGGGAUAACGUAGGGAAACUUACGCUAAUACCGCAUACGACCUACGGGUGAAAGCAGGGGAUCUUCGGACCUUGCGCGAUUGAAUGAGCCGAUGUCGGAUUAGCUAGUUGGCGGGGUAAAGGCCCACCAAGGCGACGAUCCGUAGCUGGUCUGAGAGGAUGAUCAGCCACACUGGAACUGAGACACGGUCCAGACUCCUACGGGAGGCAGCAGUGGGGAAUAUUGGACAAAGGGCGCAAGCCUGAUCCAGCCAUACCGCGUGGGUGAAGAAGGACUUCGGGUUGUAAAGCCCUUUUGUUGGGAAAGAAAAGCAGCAGGUUAAUACCCCGCUGUUCUGACGGUACCCAAAGAAUAAGCACCGGCUAACUUCGUG